GACGAACGCUGGCGGCGUGCUUAACGCAUGCAAGUCGAACGGAAAGGCCCUGCUUUUGUGGGGUGCUCGAGUGGCGAACGGGUGAGUAACACGUGAGUAACCUGCCCUUGACUUUGGGAUAACUUCAGGAAACUGGGGCUAAUACCGGAUAGGAGCUCCUGCUGCACGGUGGGGGUUGGAAAGUUUCGGCGGUGGGGGAUGGACUCGCGGCUUAUCAGCUUGUUGGUGGGGUAGUGGCUUACCAAGGCUUUGACGGGUAGCCGGCCUGGGAGGGUGACCGGCCACAUUGGGACUGAGAUACGGCCCAGACUCCUACGGGAGGCAGCAGUGGGGAAUAUUGCACAAUGGGCGGAAGCCUGAUGCAGCAACGCCGCGUGCGGGAUGACGGCCUUCGGGUUGUAAACCGCUUUCGCCUGUGACGAAGCGUGAGUGACGGUAAUGGGUAAAGAAGCACCGGCUAACUACGUG
RNAcentral lists this ribosomal RNA (468 nucleotides) under uncultured bacterium. RNAcentral describes it as "partial 16S ribosomal RNA". It matches the Rfam family "Bacterial small subunit ribosomal RNA", at positions 28 to 507 of the family's 1533-position model. The record is from RNAcentral.